RNAcentral lists this long non-coding RNA (651 nucleotides) under Rattus norvegicus (Norway rat). RNAcentral describes it as "long non-coding RNA NONRATT023185". The record is from RNAcentral. Lineage: Eukaryota; Metazoa; Chordata; Mammalia; Rodentia; Muridae.
AUACAGCACGUGUUCUAGUGCCCAGACUGUUUUCUUCCCACAGAAGCCAGAAGAACUCAGCCCACAGAAGUGUCCCUGCAACAUGACCUUGUCACCUACAAAUGUGCUGGGCCACAUUCACAGCUAUCCUGGGGUACACGUGGCAGCUGGGCAUGCCUACGAAGAAUCUUACCAAUUCCAGAACUCGGGAUCCUCAGGGCUAGGGCAGAGCCAAGAACAAACGGGAAUGCACUUCAAUUGAGCCUCAGUUGAACAAGCCCCUUUAAUGCCAUGCCACUGGGGGUGGGGUGGGGCGGGGCUGUAAAGCUCCUGUGGUCUGUGGCCAGCUGUUAUCACAUUUGCGGCUUUGUAAAGGAGGCCAUUUUGUUGUUGCCUAUGGUUUGUUUUAUUUUUGAGAAAGGAUCUUACUAUGUGACCCAGGCUGACAGUGAACUUGAAUGCCUCCUGCCUCAGCCUCUCAGGUGUUGGGUGUAUAGGUGUGUGCUGCCGUACCUGGCUACUGUACAUAGUUUUGUUUUUCUUGAGACAAAGUUUCAUGUAGCCCAGGGUGGCCUUAAACUCCAGAUCCUCUUGAACUACCUCCUAUGAUGUAAAAGUUCUAUAAUUUAUUUCCUCACUGGAUUUUAAUAAAGUGCUGCUGUUUUGUUUUUG